UUAAGCAUAUCAAUAAGCGGAGGAAAAGAAACUAACAAGGAUUCCCCUAGUAACGGCGAGUGAAGAGGGAAGAGCCCAAGAUUGAAAGCUGGCGCCUUCGGCGUCCGCAUUGUAAUCUCAAGAAGCAUUUUCCGCUUCGGACCAAGCCUAAGUCCCUUGGAAAAGGGCAUCGUAGAGGGUGAGAAUCCCGUACAUGGCUUGGAGCGCCCGAGGCUUUGUGAUAUGCAUUCUAAGAGUCGAGUUGUUUGGGAAUGCAGCUCAAAAUGGGUGGUAAAUGCCAUCUAAGGCUAAAUAUUGGGGAGAGACCGAUAGCGAACAAGUACCGUGAGGGAAAGAUGAAAAGAACUUUGAAAAGAGAGUUAAACAGUACGUGAAAUUGCCAAAAGGGAAGGGUAGGAGGUCAGAGAUGCGGCAUGGGAUUCAGCCUUGCUUUUGCUUGGUGUUUUUCCCAUUUUGCAGGCCAACGUCGGUUUUGGGCACUGGAGAAUGGUGGGAGGAAUGUGGCACUCUUCGGGGUGUGUUAUAGCCUCCUACUGGAUACAGCGACCGGGACCGAGGAACGCAGCGUACUCGAAAGAGCGGGCCUUCGGGCACCUUUACGCUUAGGGCGUUGGCAUAAUGACCCUCUACCACCC
Molecule: ribosomal RNA, 635 nt
Filed under: Farysia acheniorum
Lineage: Eukaryota; Fungi; Basidiomycota; Ustilaginomycetes; Ustilaginales; Ustilaginaceae
Description: LSU rRNA
Rfam family: Eukaryotic large subunit ribosomal RNA
Source: RNAcentral